GACGAACGCUGGCGGCGUGCCUAAUACAUGCAAGUUGAGCGCUGAAGGUUGGUACUUGUACCGACUGGAUGAGCAGCGAACGGGUGAGUAACGCGUGGGGAAUCUGCCUUUGAGCGGGGGACAACAUUUGGAAACGAAUGCUAAUACCGCAUAAAAACUUUAAACACAAGUUUUAAGUUUGAAAGAUGCAAUUGCAUCACUCAAAGAUGAUCCCGCGUUGUAUUAGCUAGUUGGUGAGGUAAAGGCUCACCAAGGCGAGGAUACAUAGCCGACCUGAGAGGGUGAUCGGCCACAUUGGGACUGAGACACGGCCCAAACUCCUACGGGAGGAAGCAGUAGGGAAUCUUCGGCAAUGGACGAAAGUCUGACCGAGCAACGCCGCGUGAGUGAAGAAGGUUUUCGGAUCGUAAAACUCUGUUGGUAGAGAAGAACGUUGGUGAGAGUGGAAAGCUCAUCAAGUGACGGUAACUACCCAGAAAGGGACGGCUAACUACGUGCCAGCCGCCGCAGUAA
Molecule: ribosomal RNA, 513 nt
Filed under: uncultured bacterium
Lineage: Bacteria
Description: partial 16S ribosomal RNA
Rfam family: Bacterial small subunit ribosomal RNA
Source: RNAcentral